This is a long non-coding RNA of Balaenoptera musculus (blue whale), 2363 nucleotides long. Lineage: Eukaryota; Metazoa; Chordata; Mammalia; Artiodactyla; Balaenopteridae. The record is from Ensembl.
AGCUCCGCCCAGCCCGCGGCUCCCGGCUGUCCUGGAGAUUGCAUUCUGCUGCAGCUGGUGGACCGACCCUGGCUGGGAGCGGCGUGGGGGCUCAGAGUAGGUGGGCGCCGAGGGCCCAGCGCACCAGGGAAGCCGAGGUCGUGGGGCCGGCGCUUUCUUCCGUCUCCUGCCGCACUCCUGGGGCGGGCGGCGUUCCCUGGGCGGAAGAGAAGGUGAGCGCCGGAACGUGGCCGCAGCGCUCACCUCUAAAGCAAGUAUUUAACCUGAGAACGGGACCUCUCGAUGGAGGCACUAGAAGAGAACGGAGGUUUCUGGUAGCUUCGUGUGCACUCCACAAGCACAGCUGGCGGGCGUUAAGCUACCCACCUGUAUCUAUCACAUCCCUUGCUUCGCGUUCUUGGGAUAAAGGCAGGCGGGAAAAGCUUGGGGAGGAAAGUUGCCAGGGAUGAAAGUGGGGAGAAUUAGGGAGAGCCGAGAGUCGGUUAAGUAGGAAGACUGAACCAGGAAUAGAUAAGUGGGACUCAGUCUCUGCCUACCCUCCCAUGAGACAGUGACCUUAGGCUUUUUCUACCGCUUAGUUUCAGCCACGUGUCCUGAGCGACGCCAGACUUCUACUUGUUACAAAUUGAUGGAUUUUCCAUCUCUCAACUAACAGUAUUGGAGCUGUAAAAUCAUCAGGUUGGUUCCCGUUAUAUCUUCUCCGCUGUUACAUCGGCAGUAUUCACCUGUAUUUCUCCCACGAUAAAUACUAGUAAGUUAACAGGUCAACCGCACGUGUGCAAGAAGGUUAAGCAUUUCUAACGUAAAAAGAAACGUUGACUUUUCCUUCGUGUACAGUAAGUAUGUACGCAGGGAACCUAUUUUUCCCAGUGCCAGAGCUAAAGUUUUUCUUGAUUCAGCUAACGGAUUUUCGAGAAUGUGAUAGUAGUACUUAGCUGUGCCAAACGCCUUUCGAACAUAUUAGAUGCUCGUAACAACUCAAGUAUGUCUCAGUACACUGCAUUAUGCUUUCUCUUUGUCACAGAGGUUCUUCCCUAAUAUACUUUGUUUGAUUUCAAUCACGGUGUGAAUAGGAUUGAAUAUUCUCAAUGGAGGUCUCACAAAUUGCCAAGGGCAGUGUGCUGAGAUUCACAUUAGGUUUCAUUAUCUAUAAUACACAAAAUUUGACUUUAAUAAUUUUUUAAUAUUAAUGAUGAAUAAGCAUUAUCUUUGAAUUUUAGAUUGUUUUUCCUUCCCUGGCUUUUACAUUGAAAAUUUUUAGAAAAGUUGCAUAAUAUUCAUUCAUUCAAUGAAGAGUUUUGAGUCUCUAUUAUAUGUACCAGCAUGAGUGUAGAAACAUUAGACUCAAUCCCUGUCUUAUCCCAAAGGAGCUAAUAGGUAGGUAGAAACCCAUUUAAACAAACAGUAUUACCAGGUGCUUUGGAGGAUGUGGAUUUGUUUAUUCCCAAGCUUGGCUGCCCGUUAAAAUCACCUGGAGAGCUUUAACAACCACUGAUGCUUGCAUCCUAUGCCCAGAGAUUCACAUGUAAUUGCUCUGGGGUAUGGUUUGGGCAUCCUGCUUCCUAAAAUCUCAUCAGAUCAUUCUAAUGUACAACCAAGAUUAAGAACUACUGAUUUAUUCAUUCAGCAAAUAUGUAUUAAGGGAGGCCUUCUUUGUGCCAUGUACUGGGACUACAAGAAUGAAUAACUACCACCUGUUGCACAUGGAUAAAUACCUCUGGAGAGGUAGAAGUUCAGUUACACAAGGUCAGGGAACAGUGCACUGGUUACAACAAAUUCCCCUUGAUACUCUAUGGUCUUUUGAUCUAUUUAGCUGGGUACCAUCAUACAAACCAGACUUGUCAUAUUACUUUUAACUCUGCCUUGCAUAAUUACUGUUUUUGCAUAAUUAUUUUUAAGCUCUGUAUUUGUUGCCUGUUAAACGUUUCUAGAAACAGCUUACCCAAUAGGGUGACUCCAGCUCAGUGCUUCAAGAUGAUCUCCAGUGCUUACAACCUAGAUGGAAUAUAGACUUUAGAUGGGAAAUUCCUGAGUGUUCUUCCUCAUGCUCCUCCUUGUUACUCAAACGUGGCUUCAGGGGUUUCCAAUCGGUAUGCAUUUUCCCUCUGACGUGGGACAUGACAAUCAGGAAACUCUCUUCCUGGUACCAAGGGACAAAAACCACUAAAUAUGGACAACCUGACUCGAUCAGCAAUGCUUUUGAGGAAAGAUCUUGAUCAAAAGAGGGAAAUGUGAAAAUAAAGAAAACUUCAUUUAAAGUCGAGUCAUGAAGCCCUGAAGGGAAAGCUCUCAUGUAUGCACCACUUGUGGCUGCCUGCAUAACCAGCAGGAAGAAGAACAAUAAAAAUUAUUUUAACAACAGC